GCACAAGCGGUGGAGCAUGUGGAUUAAUUCGAUGCAACGCGAAGAACCUUACCUGGGUUUGACAUGCACAGGACGCCGGUAGAGAUAUCGGUUCCCUUGUGGUCUGUGUGCAGGUGGUGCAUGGCUGUCGUCAGCUCGUGUCGUGAGAUGUUGGGUUAAGUCCCGCAACGAGCGCAACCCUUGUCUCAUGUUGCCAGCGCGUUAUGGCGGGGACUCGUGAGAGACUGCCGGGGUCAACUCGGAGGAAGGUGGGGAUGACGUCAAGUCAUCAUGCCCCUUAUGUCCAGGGCUUCACACAUGCUACAAUGGCCGGUACAAAGGGCUGCGAUGCCGUGAGGCUUAGCGAAUCCUUUAAAGCCGGUCUCAGUUCGGAUCGGGGUCUGCAACUCGACCCCGUGAAGUCGGAGUCGCUAGUAAUCGCAGAUCAGCAACGCUGCGGUGAAUACGUUCCCGGGC
RNAcentral lists this ribosomal RNA (456 nucleotides) under uncultured bacterium. Its description in RNAcentral is "bacterial SSU rRNA". It matches the Rfam family "Bacterial small subunit ribosomal RNA", at positions 923 to 1379 of the family's 1533-position model. The record is from RNAcentral.